AUACCCAUGUCCAGAGUUCUGUAGAUGGUGGCCAUGGGAGCUUCAAGACAGAGGUCUCCACCCAGACAGUCAGUUUCGGGGCUGUAGGAGAGACAGUCACUCUGCAUAUUGACCCAGAUGGUGGAGAGGCUCCAGGCCCCUCCCAGGGCUGAUGCCACACACUGGGGACACAGCAUGGGGACAACAAGGUAAGGCAAGUGGCCCAGAGCCUUGGACCCUGCAGGUACCAGCAUCAACCCUGGAACCCACAGCUUACCUCGGGGACCUCCCACCCCCUCUUCUUCUCCAGCCUGGGAUUGAGCCUUCCUUGCUUUCCUGCCCGGUCCCGUCUACCUCACUGGACCUGAUCUCUGCCGGGAGGAUGGAGGAAGUACCUGCAGAGUUGGCAUAUGCCGAUGUCACUUCAGAAGAGCCCCCGCCAGGAGCAGUCCCAAGACUCUGACUCUGGACUCCACCUCUCAGGCCCUGCGGGGCUCUAGAAACAAGAUGUGGACUUGGGUGUUUGCCCUGAGACAUAGCCCCAUUGAGGGUCUUCUUUAGUGCUACUCCCAAGACAUGCAUUGACUCACCAGCUCUGCAGCUCUUCAGGGCCACCUCUGUGGUGGACACGGCUGUAGGGUGGGGGGAAAUCCCUGGCCAUUGCCCUGAUGAGAACAAUAAAUCAAGUCCCAUACCCUC
This 678-nucleotide long non-coding RNA is filed under the name Rattus norvegicus (Norway rat). RNAcentral's name for it is "long non-coding RNA NONRATT005466". Lineage: Eukaryota; Metazoa; Chordata; Mammalia; Rodentia; Muridae. The record is from RNAcentral.